Molecule: ribosomal RNA, 447 nt
Rfam family: Bacterial small subunit ribosomal RNA
GUUUGAUCCUGGCUCAGGACGAACGCUGGCGGCGUGCUUAACACAUGCAAGUCGAACGGUGAUGUCAGAGCUUGCUCUGGCGGAUCAGUGGCGAACGGGUGAGUAACACGUGAGUAACCUGCCCCCGACUCUGGGAUAACUGCUAGAAAUGGUAGCUAAUACCGGAUAUGACGAUUGGCCGCAUGGCCUGGUCGUGGAAAGAAUUUCGGUUGGGGAUGGACUCGCGGCCUAUCAGGUUGUUGGUGAGGUAAUGGCUCACCAAGCCUACGACGGGUAGCCGGCCUGAGAGGGUGACCGGCCACACUGGGACUGAGACACGGCCCAGACUCCUACGGGAGGCAGCAGUGGGGAAUAUUGCACAAUGGGCGAAAGCCUGAUGCAGCAACGCCGCGUGAGGGAUGACGGCCUUCGGGUUGUAAACCUCUUUUAGUAGGGAAGAAGCGAAAG